AAUCAACGCUGGCGGCGUGCCUAACACAUGCAAGUCGAGCGAGAAAGGGGCUUCGGCCCUGAGUAAAGCGGCGCACGGGUGAGUAACACGUGGGUAAUCUGCCCUAGAGUGGGGAAUAACACCGGGAAACCGGUGCUAAUACCGCAUACGAUCAUUGGAUCUUCGGAUUUGGUGAUGAAAGGAGCAAUCCGCUCUUGGAGGAGCCCGCGGCUGAUUAGCUAGUUGGUAAGGUAAUGGCUUACCAAGGCUACGAUCAGUAUCCGGUCUGAGAGGACGGUCGGACACACUGGAACUGAGACACGGUCCAGACUCCUACGGGAGGCAG
RNAcentral lists this ribosomal RNA (325 nucleotides) under uncultured Acidobacteriota bacterium. Its description in RNAcentral is "bacterial SSU rRNA". It matches the Rfam family "Bacterial small subunit ribosomal RNA", at positions 32 to 351 of the family's 1533-position model. Lineage: Bacteria; Pseudomonadati; Acidobacteriota. The record is from RNAcentral.